Molecule: long non-coding RNA, 4982 nt
Organism: Marmota monax (woodchuck)
Lineage: Eukaryota; Metazoa; Chordata; Mammalia; Rodentia; Sciuridae
Exons: 3
Source: RefSeq, a predicted model, not a curated record
UAGAACUGUGGGAAAAUAGGAAGAGCAUUAAUGUAAAAUUAAUGUCUUAAGAAAAUGUGAAGACUACGUAUCAGUGUUGAUUUCUGCCUUUAUUGUAAAUUUGAAGCAGCACAGAAGUCAGCAGAUUGUGGUUACAGAGGGCACAGGACAAGAAGUCUGGAGACCUAGGUUUCAGUUCUAGCAUGACCUUUGACCUUUGGGUUUCAGCUCUCUAUUGUAAAGGGAGGGUAAUCAACUGAAAUAUUUCUAAGGUCCUCUUAUAGUACUAAAUUUGGGCAUUUUUCUACAGUUAAAUUACUAAUUGUUCUGGUCACAGACUCAAAGGAAAUUCUGAAUACUCAACUGCAACCAAUUGAAUCUAAAGGAAAUGGAAUCUUUUCAUUUUUCUAUUUGAUGUCCAGGUAAACAUAUUUUAAAGAGGAAACACUGAAUAUAUAUUAACUAUACAAUUGUCCAUCUAUACAUAUAUAUGGCACUAAUUUAUUAUUUUGUUCAGAAAGUUAGUCUCCUCUAAAUACAUCCUAGUUCACUAUAGUGUACACAUCACAAAUAUCAGUUUGUCUCCUCUCUAAAUGUAUGUCUUAUCAUUGUAAAAAUAUGGGAUUACUUUGUGACUUAGGCAACGGAGAGCAAACUUCUCAGAUCCACAUGGGUCUUUCUUUCUUUCUUUUUUGUUAGUAAUGAUAUUUGAUGAUGAUAAUGAUGAUGAUGAUGAUGAUGAUGAUGAUGAUGAUUGGUACCAGGGACUGAACCCAGGGAUGUUUAACCACUGAGUCAUAUCCCUAUCCUUUUUAAAAUUUUUCUUUUAUUUUGAGACAAGUUCUUGCUAAAUUGCUUAGGGCCUCACUAAGUUGCUGAGGCUGGCUUUGGACUCCUGCCUUAGCUUUCUGAGUUGAUGGAAUUAUAGGUGAGUGCCACCAUGCCUGGUUGAUUAUCUAUAUCUAUAUCUAUAUAUAUAUUAGUUGUAGACAGACAUAAUAUCUUUAAUUAAUUAAUUAAUUUAUUUAUUUAUGUGGUGCUGAGAUUGAACCCAGUGCCUCACACAUGUGAGGCAAGAGCUCAACCACUGAGCUAUAACCCCACCCCUGAUUAUUUUUUAAUCUGCUUUCACAUCAUUAAAAAAUCUUUAAAUUAGAUUUAGCAGGGUUUAAUUGAGUAAAGAAUUCAUGAAUUGGACAACAGUCAGGAUCCAAAUGGGUCUUUCUAUGGAACCCUAGAGCCCCAUGGAACACAGAUAAAAUCACUGAUUUAGUCUAUCAUUAUACAGAGCAGAAAAAUAAGAAACACAGAGAUUAGAUAAUACAGUUAAGUUAAGCAUAUAAUUUAAUUUGGCUUGGAUACAUGGGAUGGUAUAAGUCUCAUGAUUUAAAAAAACCAUCUGUGCACUUGGGACUUCAAAAUUUAAAUCUGUAGCUCUGACCUCUCUUUCAAACUCAAGACUCUUAUGUACAAUGUAUAGUUGGCAUAUAGUAGUUCCCCCUUAUCCAGGAUUUGACUUUCUGUGCUUUUAGUUUCCCAUGGUGGUCAACCAUUGAAUGAAAAUAUUAAAUGGCCAAUUUGAGAAGUAAAGAAUUCAUAAGAAGUAAAAAUUCCAAGAAGUAAAUAAUUCAUGCCCUGUACUGAGUAGUGUGAUGAAACCUCAUGCCAUCCCACGCCACACCACCUGAGAUAGGUCUACAAACCACAUGGGGAGAAUCUGCUUCUCUACAAUCUGUAUCCUCAGCAAACUUAAUGCCUGGUUCCUGGGUACAUGUUGAUGAAUAAGAGACUUCUGAGAUCUGGACCUAGCCAUGAGAAAGUUAGUCUAAAUAUGGAGAGAUGAACAUAUAUUUCAUUAGCAAAUCUUGAUUGAAGGUGCCACGUUCUACCGACUAAAGAUUUGAAGAGGAAAAAGGUAUGGCUCUCAUUUUUAAGAAGCUCACGAUUGAAUCCUGGGCAUGUGAAUAUGUACUGUAGAUUGUCAGUUUUACAAAGAUAAUGAGGGGGAAACUGGAAUUUCUCACCAGUAAAAUAAAACAACUGAAAAAAUAUAAAACAACUGAAGCAGGAUAUUAAGGUAGGAGGUGGUAGAGUGCUAACACAGAAAGUGUGAUCAUUAAUAAAACUUUGGAAUUAAAAGGCAUUUAAAAAAAGAAUUUUAUUGUUUUCAAGUAACGCAGUAUGGAACUUGCACUUGUCAUGGAUUUUCUUGCAAAGAUUCUGGUUGAUUUAACUAGUACAGUCUGGUUAACUGGAUCUGCUAGAACUACCUAAAACCACUGCUUAUAGUUUAGGUAGCACUUCAUGGGUAGAAAUCCCUUAAGAAGCAGAGUUGCAAGGCAUCUCCCAUAUACAGGAUCUGUUCUGUAUUGGAUGAUUUUGUCUUUCCUUCUGCAUUGGCUUUCUCAGAACAACUGAAAUGUCCUGUAUUCUACUUUUUUUUUUCAAUGAAUUACAACAGUUCAUCUAUUUUUUGUAGCUAUGAGAGCUAUUUGUCAAAUGUAUCUGAGACUCCUGUACUUUUAUUAAGUUUGUGACCCUACUAGGAAGUUAUUCUUUCACCCUUACUACCCUCCACACUUCAGCCUGCUCUGUAGAAUCAAUGUCAAGGCAAGCUCAUCCAGGCCAAUGGUCAGGUCCUCUCUCAGGAAUUUCCCAACAGAGAAUGACAAUCUGUCUUCCUGAAAUUUUUACCAGCUGCACUUAUCAUCACCCUGGAAGACUGUAUUCCAUUUUCCUUAAAGAAUUUAAAAUAUGAAACUCACUUUGUUGGAGAUCAUCUCAGACCAUAGACUUUUCCCAAGCUUUCUGUGAACUAUAUCUAGUGAUGUGCUAGUAAUAUGAAUUAAACAAUAGCAACAAAAAGCUCUGAUUGUAGUACUUGCUGAUUUCUGUGGUGAAGAUGCUUCUGCCAUGACCAACUUUAAGGUACCCAAGUGAAACUGCUGAACUCAUGGUUGGGAAGAGCUGCACAUAUAUUCUACUCUUGAGAUUUGUUAAGAUAUGAUUGCAGUACAAUGACACCCAUGUUUUCUUUUUGCUAACAUAUUUUGCUAAUUAAUCAUAUUUUACUUUACUUGGAUAAUGAAUUUUAGUAUUGGUGUUUUGAGGAAAGGAAUUCUGCAAACAUACUACAGGUAGGUUGACCAGAGGUUGUGAGGAGAGCCUAGGGAAUAUGAAGGAGAGUGUGGGAUAAAAAUAACUCCUAGGAGGUGGGAAUGAAUCCUAGGUUGCUAGUAUUGCUGUUAAUCAAGAUAGUGGGUGGAGCUUCAGGGAGGAAAGGUAACUAAUUUACACAAUAAUUGAGCAAAUAUUUAUUGAGCACAAACUGAUGCCUGACACAGGAAAUUCUAGGUAUUGAGAAGACACAGCAGAGCACACAACAGAUAAAAUCCUUGCUCUUGUGAAACUGAUAGCUUAUCAGAAAUGGCCUCUUGAAUGCAACCUGUUGGAAUCUCUUUGAAGCCUGAAUCUUCUGCUGAGUACACCCCUAUGUUUUUCAGUUUGAAGCUACCAAGACAUUUAAUAAAUACCUUUCUGGUAUCUUGUAGCACAGCAGUAUAAACUUACGUUCAACCUGACUUCACAUGGCGCAGUUGAUCCCUCCUGCAGAAAGCCUUCCCUAGACUUCCAUGUCUCCCUUCAAUUCUGGGUAACUCUUAGUUCCCUGUAAUGUGCCCCCAUUUACUUCCUUACUACAUUGUGAACUUUCUGAGGUUGUUUUCUUAGCAAGUUCCAUCUUAAAUAGUUGAGGCAGGACCACAGAUUAGCCUUUAUGUGAAGUACUAAAGUUUAUACUAUAUUGUCCAUGUAAAAUGUUCUUUUAAGCCAUUCCAAUCAUUCAUAUUAAUCCAGUUCCUUUUGUGACAUCAAAACAAAAUCCCCAAACAACAACAAAGAGCUCCUGAAAUCUGCCUGCAGAAUUUUAUUCUAAUUAAAUACAACACACAAGCUUUUUGAAGUUCAUUAUAAAAGUAAUGCUUUUGGACUUCCUCAUAAUGACUUUAUUCACUAUUGUACAUUUGGCUCACUGCUAGAAGAAAGUUACAAGGAUAGAUGGUGGCCCCAACAACAGAUAUUUACUUGGGAAAGAAGUUACACAAGGAAACAUAUCAACUCGAUGUCUUGCGUCAGUUACUCUGUGACCAACCAGGAGAGGGAAUGGCUUUGCUCUAGAUGCUGGCACCCAGCAGGAACUGUCUCAUCUCUAUCCAUGGUGGAAAUACAGCAUGGUGUUCUCUAGACGUGUUGCAUCUGCUACAUGGCAAAUCUAAGGGACUCUAAAGAGUAUCAUUAGGACAUGAUUUCUUCUUCUAGAGCAAGCAGUCUCAGCAGGAACUGUGAGUUUGCUUAGGUUUUCUGAAGAUACUAGAAUCAAAGCCUUGAUCAUUUUGUCCUCUGAAUGGAUUUCAUGACCGUACUCUUGAAUAUUUCAACAAGUUUUGAACAUGGAGGGACUUAGAACAUUCUCACAUUUCUAAUUUGUUCCAGCUUCAUAUGUGUCAUCAUUCUCUCUGAAAUCAACUUUAGAUUCAACAUCCCCUGCCAUCGGGACUUCCAGAGACCCUCCAUGCAGUGUCUCAGCUUUGACAUGUUGUGCUGAAUAGCUUGCUCUUAUCACAUGGCUUAACUGCUGUGAUGCAGAUAUUCCAAGGGUUGCUGCAUGUAUUACAUAACUCAAAGGUAUUUGGAAAGCUUAAUUUCAACUUCUUCAAAGGGAACAUGAAUGUUCCAAGGCCAAAGGACACAAAUAAACUUUUAUUUUUCAGUUCUGCCACCUGGUAUUAUUUAACAUAAAUAUAAAACCAGACAGGUUCUCAAUAUAGAAAAAUUUUCCAGUUAUUGUCCUUGUAUUUCAUCUCUUUGCCUUUCCUAGAAAGAAGACUGGAAUUGAUGGGUAAGCUUCCCCAUUAGCCUCAGAUUAAAGUCUUGCCUUCCUGGUUCUCAUACUAAAUUGCGGGUUUUAUUUGAAAUCUGUUCCACUUCAGAAAUUUCAAGCACAG